UUUUUUGCUUUGCUUUACAUGGAUGCGCCGUUGAGAGGAAUUAUAUGGUCGCACCGCAUCUGCAUCGAUCCCAAGUGAAGUUGCGUGGACGCGCGUGGAAGAGUUAGUGCCAAACGUCCAGCGUGCCGACCCCUCGUCUCCAGCCUGCGGGGCCGCCGGCUCUCCAGCCAGGUCAAAGGUCAUCUGCGUCAUGAUGCCAACCGGUCACCUGCCCAUCCUGCUCUCCCUGAGCGCCCUGCUGCUGUCUCCGCUGCUCACCGGCUCCUUAGCCUUAUGU
Danio rerio (zebrafish) is the source of this 277-nucleotide non-coding RNA. Lineage: Eukaryota; Metazoa; Chordata; Actinopteri; Cypriniformes; Danionidae. The record is from Ensembl.